Molecule: small RNA, 83 nt
Filed under: Marmota monax (woodchuck)
Lineage: Eukaryota; Metazoa; Chordata; Mammalia; Rodentia; Sciuridae
Source: RNAcentral
GCUGGGUGUGGUGGCGCAUACCUGUAAUCCCAGUGGCUGGGGAGACUGAGGCAGGAGGAUGGUGAGUUCAAAGCCAGCCUCAG